Molecule: ribosomal RNA, 301 nt
Filed under: uncultured bacterium
Lineage: Bacteria
Description: partial 16S ribosomal RNA
Rfam family: Bacterial small subunit ribosomal RNA
Source: RNAcentral
CAGCAGCCGCGGGAAUACGUAGGGUGCGAGCGUUAAUCGGAAUUACUGGGCGUAAAGCGUGCGCAGGCGGUUUUGUAAGACAGGCGUGAAAUCCCCGGGCUCAACCUGGGAAUGGCGCUUGUGACUGCAAAGCUAGAGUGCGGCAGAGGGGGAUGGAAUUCCGCGUGUAGCAGUGAAAUGCGUAGAUAUGCGGAGGAACACCGAUGGAGAAGGCAAUCCCCUGGGCCUGCACUGACGCUCAUGCACGAAAGCGUGGGGAGCAAACAGGAUUAGAUACCCCCGUAGUCCCUGUCUCUUAUAA